Molecule: long non-coding RNA, 245 nt
Organism: Rhinolophus ferrumequinum (greater horseshoe bat)
Lineage: Eukaryota; Metazoa; Chordata; Mammalia; Chiroptera; Rhinolophidae
Exons: 3
Source: RefSeq, a predicted model, not a curated record
CCGCGCCUCCAGCCUGACGGACCUCCCGGCUGCUUGCCCAGACCCAGCCCCCAGAUAGAGAAGGGGCGACUCAGGCCGGGGAGACACCAGCUCGGGACGUUAGGUGCCCAGGGGUAUGAUGACGGCUACGGGCGUGAAUAUGAGGACCAGACGUAUGAGACAUAUGAUAACAGCUAUGCCACCCAAACACAAAGUGUGCCUGAGUAUUAUGACUACGGUCAUGGAGUAAGUGAAGAUGCCUAUGA